RNA transcript from Mus musculus (house mouse), 3115 nucleotides. It is a transcript of the gene named polypeptide N-acetylgalactosaminyltransferase 11, with no coding region annotated. The record is from RefSeq and is marked validated. The transcript has 12 exons. Lineage: Eukaryota; Metazoa; Chordata; Mammalia; Rodentia; Muridae.
CAUCUAAGCUUCUCUCUGGAGUGAACUUCACUAAGGCCCUAUGGGACAGAGCUCAGCUCCACACUGGGCGGGGAGGAGCCCGGGCCUCGUGACGCCAGGCCGCGGGCGGUGACGUCAUCCUCGGAGGCGAGGGCGUGCGUGCGGUGACGCGUGCCGUGACGCGAGGGCUCCGCAAGGCUGCGUGUCGUGGGCCGCGUCGCGCGCCGCGGCUCGUGCGGCUCGGCCCGGGCUGUGGCGGGAGCGGAGAUGCCGCAGCCCGUGCCCUGGAGCGCCGCUAUCCCGGCCUGCGGGUGUCGCGGAAACUGAAAAUGGCCUUUGAGCUAUGCUAGGUCUAUAAUGGGAAGCAUCACAGUUCGAUAUUUUUGUUAUGGGUGCCUUUUUACAUCUGCUACCUGGACAGUUCUGCUUUUCAUUUAUUUUAACUUCAGUGAAGUGACUCAGCCCCUUAGGAAUGUGCCCAUCAAGGGGUCUGGGCCCCACGGGCCAUUUCCCAAAAAAUUCUACCCACGUUUCACUCGAGGUCCAGGUCGGGUAUUAGAUCCACAGUUCAAAGCAAACAGAAUCGACCGUUUGAUGAAUAAUCACAUUGAAGAUCCAGAUAAAGGCCUCUCAAAAUCUUCCUCUGAACUAGGUAUGAUUUUCAAUGAACGUGAUCAGGAAUUGAGAGACCUGGGCUACCAGAAGCACGCCUUUAAUAUGCUCAUUAGUAACCGCUUGGGAUACCACAGAGACGUGCCGGACACCAGGAAUGCAGAGUGUAGGAGGAAGUCCUACCCGACUGACCUGCCAACUGCUAGCAUUGUCAUCUGUUUCUACAAUGAAGCCUUUUCUGCCUUACUGCGGACUGUGCACAGUGUUGUGGACCGCACACCGGCCCACCUUCUUCAUGAGAUCAUCCUUGUGGAUGACAGCAGUGACUUUGAUGAUUUAAAAGGAGAACUGGAUGAGUACAUCCAAAGAUACCUGCCUGCAAAAGUCAAGGUCAUAAGAAAUAUGAAGCGCGAGGGAUUGAUCCGAGGACGAAUGAUCGGAGCAGCCCACGCUACAGGAGAAGUCCUGGUGUUCCUGGACAGCCACUGUGAAGUGAAUGUGAUGUGGUUACAGCCCCUGCUGGCCAUUAUCCUUGAGGACCCACACACAGUGGUGUGCCCCGUGAUUGACAUCAUCAGUGCAGACACACUCGCUUACAGCUCAUCCCCAGUAGUUCGGGGAGGUUUCAACUGGGGGCUGCACUUCAAGUGGGAUCUAGUUCCCGUAUCUGAGCUGGGAGGCCCUGACGGCGCCACGGCCCCAAUAAGGUCACCUACAAUGGCUGGAGGCUUGUUUGCCAUGAACAGACAGUAUUUCAAUGAUCUUGGACAGUAUGACAGUGGCAUGGAUAUCUGGGGAGGAGAAAAUCUGGAAAUCUCAUUUCGGAUCUGGAUGUGUGGCGGCAAGCUCUUCAUCCUCCCUUGCUCAAGAGUAGGACACAUUUUCCGAAAAAGGCGACCGUACGGAUCUCCGGAAGGCCAGGACACCAUGACACACAACUCCCUGAGACUGGCACAUGUCUGGCUGGAUGAGUACAAGGAGCAAUAUUUUUCCUUAAGACCUGAUUUGAAGAACAAAAGCUUCGGGAAUAUCAGUGAGCGUGUUGAAUUGAGGAAGAAACUGGGCUGUCAGUCAUUCAAGUGGUAUUUGGAUAAUAUUUACCCUGAGAUGCAGAUACCUGGCCCGAAUGCCAAACCUCAGCAGCCCGUUCUCAUCAACAGAGGACCCAAGCGCCCCAGAGUCCUGCAGCGUGGAAGGGUGAGCUGGCAGUCUUGAGGGCUCCCUGGGGAGGAGGGGCAGGGAGAGAUUGGGGUGCUGUGAUAGUAGAAAUGGAAUGUUCUCUUUGGGGCCUUCUUUCUGCUUGAGUAGAAAAGCUUAGAGAUCUUAAACGUGUUUGCGGUUUUCACUAAGGGCAAGGGCCUUACUUACCUGUGCUCCCUGCCUUGGAGGGACUGAGACCUUUUGUAGGUUGUGCUGUCUUCCAAGAGCAGAGACACAAUCGGGAACACAGGCAGUGUGAGGCCCGAAGGACCCUUCCCAGGGAUAAGCAGGAAUGCAGCAGCUGUUCCUGUCGAGACUCAGCUCUUGGAGCCGACUGCAGACAGAGACUGAGGCGACAGUUCAUCAGUGUGACCUGUAGUAAGGUUUCACACCAGCACAUGGCACUCCUGAGCUCUACCACUUGCAGACCAACAAAUGCCUGGUGGCCCAGGGCCGCUCCAGCCAGAAAGGAGGCCUAGUGCUGCUUAAGACCUGUGACUACGGAGACCCAACUCAGGUCUGGAUUUAUAAUGAAGACCAUGAAUUGAUUUUAAACAACCUCCUUUGCCUUGACAUGUCAGAAACUCGCUCAUCGGAUCCACCCCGACUCAUGAAGUGCCAUGGGUCAGGAGGAUCCCAGCAGUGGACCUUUGGGAAGAACAACCGGCUGUACCAAGUGUCCGUUGGGCAGUGCCUGAGAGUUAUGGACCUGAUGGAUCAGAAGGGCUACGUUGGCAUGGCGAUCUGCGAUGGCUCCUCCUCUCAACAGUGGCGUCUAGAAGGUUAAAGGUGGGCCCUGGCUGGACACAACAUAAUUCACCUGGUUUUGUCAUGCCUGCCAUAAAUCAAGGUGCUUUAAGGUUGCUGACUGCAGCAGACAAGAACCUUGGUGGAGGGCGACCAUCUCAGGAGCGCCACUGGGAUUUGGGUUUACUUCCGAGCUGCUGUUAAGGGAUUCUUGUUUAUCCAGGGAAAACAGAAAAUAAUUCUAAAGAGUUGGGUCUACAGAGUAUAAACCCAGGAAGUAGGCAUUUGUAUUCAUAUUUAUGUUUUUCGCAUUCUCCCUUGGAGAUGGAAUUGUUUCUGUCCAAUCAGGAACUUGUCACAAUUUCCUUUCAUAGAGGACUUCAUAAGAGAUUUUUUUCUAUUUCUAUCAUGCCUAAUGUUCCAAAUAGAUUUUAAAAACUGGUUGAGUGCAUAUUACUUUUAGCUUCAGAAGAUAUCAUGUAUAUUUAAGAGGCAUUUAACUAUUAUAAAUUAUUUUGAUGACUUAAUAUUGUCUGUCUACAUUAAAUAAAGGAUCUUUUUGAUCAUUUAACUAGGA